Molecule: unclassified non-coding RNA, 2218 nt
Filed under: Cimex lectularius (bed bug)
Lineage: Eukaryota; Metazoa; Arthropoda; Insecta; Hemiptera; Cimicidae
Description: cytosolic carboxypeptidase Nna1, transcript variant X3
Source: RNAcentral
AGGCACCGGCUCAAUAUCCUCCUCACUAAAAUCAUAUGUACGUACAUAGAUUUUUUUACAAUCUUGGUCGGACUAACAAUAAAUUUCUAAUUUGUAUAUUUUUAACUUUUCGGUAAUGAAAGUAAAUUUGUUUUGUGACAAACUCUCGGUUGGGGGAAAUUCACGUUCGACGGAUUCAGAGACUGAAGAUGAAGAAUGGGAAGAGCGUUCGGGUACAACUAAUGGAAACCCAUUCUGUGAUACAUUUGCGUCAAUGUGGAUUGGUUAUUCUACAGGUUCCUACUUGAGCAGUCUGCUGGCCAACACGCUCAAGAGCAACCAAGUAGAGAUUAACACAGACAGCAAAAGUCUGAAAUCGAUUGCGAGACUGAAAGAGCCCAGAGACUUGUUCACGUUGCCUAAAGAGCCGGAAUGUGCCCAAGAAGCCGCGAGGUGGCCUUCGGAGUGCCAGGUCGUCGACAUGAAGAUACACCACAUCGAGGUGAUGCCCAACAUACCCGAAGUCUACUACACAAGCAGUGGCAAAGAGAUUGUGGUUAAAGUCAUCGGGGAAGACGCCGGACAGAUCGUCUAUCAAUACAACCCGAUGAGCGCUGUCAAUUACUUUACGAGGUCUAUUAGUGGGGGCAACAGAAUCCCGCCGAGCUGCCCCGUAAACGGCGAUCUGAAAUUUGAAUCCAGGUUUGAGUCUGGAAAUUUGGCGAAGGCUGUGAAAAUUACAGAAACUUACUACGAGCUCUCGAUUAGGGCCGACUUGUACACCAAUAAGCACAUGCAAUGGUUCUACUUUAUGGUAGAAAACACAAAAAAAGGAGUUCUUUACAGGUUCAGCAUCGUCAAUUUAUUGAAAGGUGACAGCCUCUACAAUGAAGGCAUGCGGCCUGUCUUAUAUUCUUGUAAGGAUGCCGUGAUCAGGAAGAUUGGCUGGAGACGUUGUGGCACGAAUAUAAACUACUACCAGAAUGAUCUGAAUUCUAUUUUCAGUGGAGAAGACGAACAAAAUUCCACUUACACAUUGACUUUCAACUUGGAGUUUCCUUACGACGAUGACUGCGUUUUUGUAGCUCACAAUUACCCGUACACUUACACUGAUCUCCAGGAAUACCUGAUCAAGCUGCAGAAUCACCCGGUAAAGUCAGCGUAUACCAAGUUGAGGCUCCUGUGCAAAUCGCUUGCAGGCAAUAAUGUUUAUUAUUUGACUGUCACUGACCCUACUGAAGAUGAUAGCAACACAAAGCCUAAAAAGAAAGCAGUGGUUAUGACAGCAAGAGUGCAUCCAGGUGAAUCACCUGCUUCAUGGAUGAUGAAAGGCGUCAUGGACUUCAUAACAGGCGACUCUGCACAAGCAAAGGAAUUGAGGGAGAAAUUCAUAUUCAAGCUCAUACCAAUGUUGAAUCCAGAUGGAGUCAUCGUCGGCAACAACCGGUGUUCACUCUCUGGCAGAGACUUAAACCGACAAUACAGGACUGUGAUCAGGGAAACUUACCCUCCUGUUUGGCACACAAAACUAAUGAUCAAAAGACUAAUUGAAGAGUGUGGUGUGGCCAUGUACUGUGAUCUUCAUGCACAUUCUCGUAAACAUAAUGUAUUCAUUUAUGGCUGUGAAAAUAAAAGGAUAGCUGAGAAACGACUCCAAGAGCAAGUGUUCCCUUUGAUGCUGCAUAAAAAUACUGCAGAUAAAUUUUCUUUUGAAAACUGCAAAUUCCGAAUUAACAAAGAUAAAGAAGGAACAGGACGUGUUGUAAUUUGGAUGAUGGGUGUCGAUAAUAGUUACACUCUCGAAGCAUCAUUUGCAGGUUCCACACUCGGUUCCCGGCAUCAUACUCAUUUUUCAACUAUUGAUUAUGAGAUGAUGGGGAAAUCGUUCUGUGAGACGUUGCUAGACUAUGUUGACGAAACACCAGGAAAGGCUGAUUUUAUAGCUGAGAUUGAGAUCCAAAAUUGUACUCAAGCUCCAAAAAGAAGGGUCAAGCGCAGACGAGCCCGCAAACAUUGAGCUUUCGGAUUACUCAAGCGAUGAAGGCGAGUUGAGUGAUUUGAGCGAAGACGAAAAACGGAAAAGGGAAGAAUACAUCCUGACUGCUCCACCGCCUUCACCAGUUAUACCAAACGAAAAAAAAAAUAGUCAGAAGCCUUCACAGUGGACCUAAAACAGGCAAAAAAAUUAGAUUCUGCAUUGAAAAGGAAUAUUACUUUUGGGCACUUUGUGAAAGCAUUU